Molecule: ribosomal RNA, 446 nt
Filed under: uncultured bacterium
Lineage: Bacteria
Description: bacterial SSU rRNA
Rfam family: Bacterial small subunit ribosomal RNA
Source: RNAcentral
AGCCAGACUCCUACGGGAGGCAGCAGUGGGGAAUAUUGCACAAUGGGGGAAACCCUGAUGCAGCGACGCCGCGUGAGUGAAGAAGUAUUUCGGUAUGUAAAGCUCUAUCAGCAGGGAAGAAAAUGACGGUACCUGACUAAGAAGCCCCGGCUAACUACGUGCCAGCAGCCGCGGUAAUACGUAGGGGGCAAGCGUUAUCCGGAUUUACUGGGUGUAAAGGGAGCGUAGACGGCAUGGCAAGUCAGAUGUGAAAGCCCGGGGCUCAACCCCGGGACUGCAUUUGAAACUGUCAGGCUGGAGUGCAGGAGAGGUAAGUGGAAUUCCUAGUGUAGCGGUGAAAUGCGUAGAUAUUAGGAGGAACACCAGUGGCGAAGGCGGCUUACUGGACUGUAACUGACGUUGAGGCUCGAAAGCGUGGGGAGCAAACAGGAUUAGAUACCCCUGUA